AGUGAACGCUGGCGGUAGGCCUAACACAUGCAAGUCGAACGGCAGCACAGUAAGAGCUUGCUCUUACGGGUGGCGAGUGGCGGACGGGUGAGGAAUACAUCGGAAUCUACUUUUUCGUGGGGGAUAACGUAGGGAAACUUACGCUAAUACCGCAUACGACCUACGGGUGAAAGCAGGGGAUCUUCGGACCUUGCGCGAUUGAAUGAGCCGAUGUCGGAUUAGCUAGUUGGCGGGGUAAAGGCCCACCAAGGCGACGAUCCGUAGCUGGUCUGAGAGGAUGAUCACCCACACUGGAACUGUGACACGGUCCAGACUCCUACGAGAGGCAGCAGUGGGGAAUAUUGGACAAUGGGCGAAAGCCUGAUCCAGCCAUACCGCGUGGGUGAAGAAGGCCUUCGGGUUGUAAAGCCCUUUUGUUGGGAAAGAAAAGCAGCAGGUUAAUACCCCGCUGUUCUGACGGUACCCAAAGAAUAAGCACCGGCUAACUUCGUG
RNAcentral lists this ribosomal RNA (492 nucleotides) under uncultured bacterium. RNAcentral describes it as "partial 16S ribosomal RNA". It matches the Rfam family "Bacterial small subunit ribosomal RNA", at positions 29 to 507 of the family's 1533-position model. The record is from RNAcentral.